This 650-nucleotide long non-coding RNA is filed under the name Gallus gallus (chicken). Its description in RNAcentral is "long non-coding RNA NONGGAT003238". Lineage: Eukaryota; Metazoa; Chordata; Aves; Galliformes; Phasianidae. The record is from RNAcentral.
AUUUUGAGCCUUGCCUGCAGCUGCCAAACUGCCUGGCAGCGGUAGGGAGAUGUCUGCAGUUCAGCACUUGAAAUCAGGGUAUCUGUGGCCAAGGGCAGCUGGAGGAUUCGCUCUGCUCCUUGUACUGGCUGAGCCCCCCAGGGAUACUGAGCUCCAGAGUGGGAUGCAGGGGUCCAGGCUGUGGUCAGGAGCUUCAUAGUCAUCACACAGAUGUGGAAAACUCCCCAGGCCUGCAGGCUGGAAACAAGACCACAGAGAGCUGCACUGAUAUCACAUGCAAGCACUGACCAGAACCACCUCAAGCACCAGGGCAGCAGACACAAGCAGGAAAAUUGACUCUGAUCAUCCCUGGGGUCGUUUAACUAAAACACACAUUUCGGUCGAGCCAAGUGUUCACCAGCGCUUUUCAACUCCCCUGGUGUCAAAACAAUUAGCAGAUCACAGCAGCACCGACUCGCUGGUGCUGCAAUGGAAGCAUCUGGCCAGCACAUGGAGACGCAAUGCCAGCACAGACAAAUGUGACCAGAAGGAAUCUGACACAACCAACCCUUCCUUUGCAAUCAACGUGGGAUCCAAAACAAACCUUCGGCGCUCUCGGCAUCGCUGCCCAGGGAACCAGGCAUCCUGCAAAUAAACACUGAAUUGCAAAU